AACGAACGCUGGCGGCAUGCCUAACACAUGCAAGUCGAACGCGUGUAGCGAUACGCGAGUGGCGGACGGGUGAGUAACGCGUGGGAACCUGCCCAAUGGUAGGGAAUAACUGCGGGAAACUGCAGCUAAUACCCUAUGCUCCCUACGGGGGAAAGAUUCAUCGCCAUUGGAGGGGCCCGCGUCGGAUUAGCUAGUUGGCGGGGUAAUGGCCCACCAAGGCUACGAUCCGUAGCUGGCUGAGAGGAUGAUCAGCCACACUGGGACUGAGAUACGGCCCAGACUCCUACGGGAGGCAGCAGUGGGGAAUAUUGGACAAUGGGGAAACCCUGAUCCAGCAAUGCCGCGUGAGUGAAGAAGGCCUUAGGGUUGUAAAGCUCUUUCGGCGGGGACGAUGGUGACGGUACCCGCAGAAGAAGCCCCGGCUAACUUCGUGCCAGCAGCCGCGGU
Molecule: ribosomal RNA, 447 nt
Filed under: uncultured bacterium
Lineage: Bacteria
Description: bacterial SSU rRNA
Rfam family: Bacterial small subunit ribosomal RNA
Source: RNAcentral